AUUGAACGCUGGCGGCAUGCCUUACACAUGCAAGUCGAACGGCAGCACGGGUGCUUGCACCUGGUGGCGAGUGGCGAACGGGUGAGUAAUACAUCGGAACAUGUCCUGUAGUGGGGGAUAGCCCGGCGAAAGCCGGAUUAAUACCGCAUACGAUCUACGGAUGAAAGCGGGGGACCUUCGGGCCUCGCGCUAUCGGGUUGGCCGAUGGCUGAUUAGCUAGUUGGUGGGGUAAAGGCCUACCAAGGCGACGAGCAGUAGCUGGUCUGAGAGGACGACCAGCCACACUGGGACUGAGACACGGACCAGACUCCUACGGGAGGCAGCAGUGGGGAAUGUUGGACAAUGGGCGAAAGCCUGAUCCAGCAAUGCCGCGUGUGUGAAGAAGGCCUUCGGGUUGUAAAGCACUUUUGUCCGGAAAGAAAUCCUUGGCCCUAAUACGGUCGGGGGAUGACGGUACCGGAAGAAUAAGCACCGGCUAACUACGUG
RNAcentral lists this ribosomal RNA (486 nucleotides) under uncultured bacterium. RNAcentral's name for it is "partial 16S ribosomal RNA". It matches the Rfam family "Bacterial small subunit ribosomal RNA", at positions 29 to 507 of the family's 1533-position model. The record is from RNAcentral.